CCUACGGGUGGCUGCAGUGGGGAAUAUUGGACAAUGGGGGCAACCCUGAUCCAGCCAUGCCGCGUGUGUGAAGAAGGCCCUCGGGGUGUAAAGCACUUUCAGUGAGGAAGAACGCCUGGUGGUUAAUACCCAUCAGGAAAGACAUCACUCACAGAAGAAGCACCGGCUAACUCCGUGCCAGCAGCCGCGGUAAUACGGAGGGUGCGAGCGUUAAUCGGAAUUACUGGGCGUAAAGCGCGCGUAGGUGGCUUGAUAAGCCGGUUGUGAAAGCCCCGGGCUCAACCUGGGAACGGCAUCCGGAACUGUCAAGCUAGAGUGCAGGAGAGGAAGGUAGAAUUCCCGGUGUAGCGGUGAAAUGCGUAGAGAUCGGGAGGAAUACCAGUGGCGAAGGCGGCCUUCUGGACUGACACUGACACUGAGGUGCGAAAGCGUGGGUAGCAAACAGGAUUAGAUACCCGGGUAGUC
This 465-nucleotide ribosomal RNA is filed under the name Vreelandella stevensii. RNAcentral's name for it is "partial 16S ribosomal RNA". It matches the Rfam family "Bacterial small subunit ribosomal RNA", at positions 338 to 795 of the family's 1533-position model. The record is from RNAcentral. Lineage: Bacteria; Pseudomonadati; Pseudomonadota; Gammaproteobacteria; Oceanospirillales; Halomonadaceae.